Molecule: non-coding RNA, 147 nt
Filed under: Paramoeba aestuarina
Lineage: Eukaryota; Discosea; Flabellinia; Dactylopodida; Paramoebidae
Source: RNAcentral
CAGAUAUAUUGGAUGCUAUUUAUGACCUUGUGAAUAAUUUAGAGGCUGGAUUAUUGUGCACAACAUUAUGUGGUGAAGACCCAGUAGAAUACCUGAAUGCCCUCCUCGCUGUGGGGACCUCUCUCAACCCUCUUGAGAAUUUGCAAU